GACGAACCGUGCGAACGUUGUUCGGAAUCACUGGGCUUAAAGCGUGCGCAGGCGGCUUUGCAAGACAGAUGUGAAAUCCCCGGGCUUAACCUGGGAACUGCAUUUGUGACUGCAUGGCUGGAGUGCGGCAGAGGGGGAUGGAAUUCCGCGUGUAGCAGUGAAAUGCGUAGAUAUGCGGAGGAACACCGAUGGCGAAGGCAGUCCCCUGGGCCUGCACUGACGCUCAUGCACGAAAGCGUGGGGAGCAAACAGG
RNAcentral lists this ribosomal RNA (253 nucleotides) under uncultured bacterium. RNAcentral describes it as "partial 16S ribosomal RNA". It matches the Rfam family "Bacterial small subunit ribosomal RNA", at positions 524 to 776 of the family's 1533-position model. The record is from RNAcentral.